AACGAACGCUGGCGGCAUGCCUAACACAUGCAAGUCGAACGAGACCUUCGGGUCUAGUGGCGCACGGGUGCGUAACGCGUGGGAACCUGCCCUUAGGUUCGGAAUAACUCCCCGAAAGGGGUGCUAAUACCGGAUAAUGUCUUCGGACCAAAGAUUUAUCGCCUUUGGAUGGGCCCGCGUUGGAUUAGCUAGUUGGUAGGGUAAAAGCCUACCAAGGCGACGAUCCAUAGCUGGUCUGAGAGGAUGAUCAGCCACACUGGGACUGAGACACGGCCCAGACUCCUACGGGAGGCAGCAGUGGGGAAUAUGGGACAGUGGGCGAAAGCCUGAUCAGCAAUGCCGCGUGAGUGAUGAAGGCCUUAGGGUUGUAAAGCUCUUUUACCCGGGAUGAUAAUGACAGUACCGGGAGAAUAAGCUCCGGCUAACUCCGUG
RNAcentral lists this ribosomal RNA (432 nucleotides) under uncultured bacterium. RNAcentral describes it as "partial 16S ribosomal RNA". It matches the Rfam family "Bacterial small subunit ribosomal RNA", at positions 29 to 507 of the family's 1533-position model. The record is from RNAcentral.